Molecule: long non-coding RNA, 346 nt
Organism: Eucalyptus grandis
Lineage: Eukaryota; Viridiplantae; Streptophyta; Magnoliopsida; Myrtales; Myrtaceae
Exons: 3
Source: RefSeq, a predicted model, not a curated record
GACAGCGUCCUCCUCCACGCCGAGCUGUUCGGCAAGUCCCCGUCCCCCGUGCCGGCGCCGUCGCUGGGGUUUGCCUACCUAAGGUCCUAAGGUGGGUGCCUCAAUCCUAGUUAUAAAAAAAUAUAAGAGUGAUUACCUAGGAGGAGUGGGAAGAAGUUAGCACAAACUUUGACAGAUCAGAAUAUCUGCUUGAGAAUCCAUGUUGUUUCAGAAUGCUUAAAUAUCAUGGAAGCGGUCGAGAUGCGAUGAUUGGUUUGUUGAUGGGGCAUUGGAAUACGAUCAAUUCUUCUUUUUGCCUUUUCUUUACAACAAAUGCUCAAUGGAGUUAAGAGUGGAUACCUGUGGU